GUAGGGGGCAAGCGUUGUCCGGAAUCAUUGGGCGUAAAGAGCGUGUAGGCGGCCCGGUAAGUCCGUUGUGAAAGUCGAGGGCUCAACCCUCGAAUGCCGGCGGAUACUCCCGGGCUAGAAUCCGGAAGAGGCGAGUGGAAUUCCUGGUGUAGCGGUGAAAUGCGUAGAUAUUCGGAGGAACACCAGUGGCGAAGGCGGCUCGCUGGACUUUUGCUGACGCUGAGACGCGAAAGCGUGGGGAGCAAACAGGAUUAGAUACCCUGGUAGUCCACGCUGUAAACGAUGAGAGCUAGUUGUCGGCACGCAUGCGUGUCGGUGACGCAGCUAACGCAUUAAGCUCUCCGCCUGGGGAGUACGGCCGCAAGGUUA
This 369-nucleotide ribosomal RNA is filed under the name uncultured bacterium. RNAcentral's name for it is "bacterial SSU rRNA". It matches the Rfam family "Bacterial small subunit ribosomal RNA", at positions 527 to 896 of the family's 1533-position model. The record is from RNAcentral.